This 352-nucleotide ribosomal RNA is filed under the name Thalassiosira rotula. Its description in RNAcentral is "bacterial LSU rRNA". It matches the Rfam family "Bacterial large subunit ribosomal RNA", at positions 2090 to 2441 of the family's 2925-position model. The record is from RNAcentral. Lineage: Eukaryota; Bacillariophyta; Thalassiosirophyceae; Thalassiosirales; Thalassiosiraceae.
CCUAUGAAGCUUUACUGUAACUUGAAAUUGAAAUUGGACUUUAUUCGCGCAGCAUAGGUGGGAGGCGUUGAUUAUAAUCUCGCGGGAUUAUUGGAGCCAUCAGUGAGAUACCACUCUUGUAAUGUUAGAUUUCUAACUUUGAAUCAUUAUCUGGUCAAAGGACAGUUUCAGGCGGGCAGUUUGACUGGGGCGGUCGCCUCCUAAACGGUAACGGAGGCGUACAAAGGUUUCCUCUGAACGGUUAGAAAUCGUAUCUAGAGUGUAAAGGCAUAAGGAAGCUUGACUGUGAGACCUACAAGUCGAGCAGGGACGAAAGUCGGUCUUAGUGAUCUGACGGUACUGAGUGGAAAGG